This 423-nucleotide long non-coding RNA is filed under the name Sinocyclocheilus anshuiensis. Its description in RNAcentral is "lncRNA (ENSSANG00000048535.1)". The record is from RNAcentral. Lineage: Eukaryota; Metazoa; Chordata; Actinopteri; Cypriniformes; Cyprinidae.
CGCUAAUCUUAGCUUGUGAGAGCUCUUGUAAAGAAGCAGUGGAUAUUCUCCUGAAGACUAAGGCAGAUGAUUCUGCAGUAGACCUUUAUGGCCAUGAUGCUUACCACUACGCCAGAUUAAGUCAGAAACAAGACUUGAUCACACUUGUACAACAUGCCUUGGAAAAAAACACUAAAGCUAAAGAAACUGCCACUGUUUCACAGAAGAUCCACCAGGCUAAAUCCCCAUCAGCAGGGAUUGGCUGGACCAAAGCAGGAUCGGUAAAGACUGAGAAACCUUUGUCAGAGCCACUAACAGUGAGUUUCUUUAUGGGGUGACAUUUAAAUUAAGGCUAUGAGGCAGUCAUUUUCCUCUCCUGUAGCUGAUUGUGGUCCUGUGAUCAGUUGUGAAUGUCAUCAGUAAAGGGUUGUGUCUGAAUUACAG